This 481-nucleotide ribosomal RNA is filed under the name uncultured bacterium. Its description in RNAcentral is "partial 16S ribosomal RNA". It matches the Rfam family "Bacterial small subunit ribosomal RNA", at positions 28 to 507 of the family's 1533-position model. The record is from RNAcentral.
GAUGAACGCUGGCGGCGUGCCUAACACAUGCAAGUCGAACGGAGAUUACGGACGGAAGUUUUCGGAUGGAAGCCUGUAAUUCUUAGUGGCGGACGGGUGAGUAACGCGUGGGCAACCUGCCCUAUACAGGGGGAUAGCAGCUGGAAACGGCUGGUAAGACCGCAUAAGUCGGUUAAAUCGCAUGAUUUGAUCGGGAAAUGAGCAAUCAGGUAUAGGAUGGGCCCGCGUCCGAUUAGCCAGUUGGCAGGGUAAAAGCCUACCAAAGCGACGAUCGGUAGCCGGACUGAGAGGUCGGACGGCCACAUUGGGACUGAGACACGGCCCAAACUCCUACGGGAGGCAGCAGUGGGGGAUAUUGCACAAUGGAGGAAACUCUGAUGCAGCGACGCCGCGUGAGUGAAGAAGUAUUUCGGUAUGUAAAGCCCUAUCAGCAGGGAAGAUGAUGACGGUACCUGACGAAGAAGCCCCGGCUAACUACGUG